UCAAUCCCAGGACCCUGGAAUCAUGACCUGAGUCAAAGGCUGAUACUAAACUGCUGAGCCACCCAGGCAUCUCCAAGACCCAGUUUUUUUUUUUUUUUUUUUUUUUUAAGACCCAGUUUUAAUAUGGCGUCAUUCAUCCAUUGCAUCACCUAUGGAGUGUCCACCGUGCUUCUUCCUGGCUUGCCGUCCCACCUGCCCUUCAGCUUGUAAACCCAUCUGCUCUGAGAGGGUUGCCUGGACAGUUUGAAUGGACUCCUGGGUUCCAGAGUCAGCAUAUUUGUAUUUGAAUCCCAGUUUGCAUGACCUUAGGUGAGGAAACGUCACUUUCCCCAGAAAACAAGACAUGGUGAAGCUGCAGUUCUCCAGCUCUGACUCCAUCAUGUUCUACAGCCUCUUGAGGGCAGUCCUGUCUCUCUCCAUACUGGAUGUACCCCUCAGGACUCUUUCAGUUGAAGAAGCCUCCAGAAUGCCAGAGUAAUUCAUUUGUUCCCUGUGAGGUAGGCGAGGCAGAGGUGCUCCAGGGUGAAGACCUGAGAUGGCAGAGAAGUGACUCUCCCGAGGCCACGGUUUGUAAACGGAGGAGCCUAGACGAGACCCCAGGGCUCCCCUCCUCUCCGUUCCUCGUCUGGGGGGGGGGGGGGGGGGGGGCGAGGAAGGCAGCUCAGCCUUAGCUGGGGGUGGGCGUGGGGGCCUGAUGGGCGCUUCUGCGAACGCCAGGGACAGGAUGGUGAGUGGGCUGGGGACGGACUGAAGGAGGGAAGAAGGAACAGGGUAUUUUUGCAUUUUGAC
This 789-nucleotide long non-coding RNA is filed under the name Canis lupus familiaris (dog). Its description in RNAcentral is "lncRNA (ENSCAFG00845002041.1)". Lineage: Eukaryota; Metazoa; Chordata; Mammalia; Carnivora; Canidae. The record is from RNAcentral.